GACGAACGCUGGCGGCGUGCUUAACACAUGCAAGUCGAACGGAAAGGCCCCCACUUUUUUGGUGGGGGUGCUCGAGUGGCGAACGGGUGAGUAACACGUGGGUGAUCUGCCCUGUACUUCGGGAUAAGCUUGGGAAACUGGGUCUAAUACCGGAUAGGACCAUGGUUUAGUGUCUCAUGGUGGAAAAAUUAUUGUUUUGGUGCAGGAUGAGCUCGCGGCCUAUCAGCUUGUUGGUGGGGUAAUGGCCUACCAAGGCGUCGACGGGUAGCCGGCCUGAGAGGGUGGACGGCCACAUUGGGACUGAGAUACGGACCAGACUCCUACGGGAGGCAGCAGUGGGGAAUAUUGCACAAUGGGCGCAAGCCUGAUGCAGCGACGCCGCGUGGGGGAUGACGGCCUUCGGGUUGUAAACUCCUUUCGUUAGGGACGAAGCCGCACCUUUUUUGGGUGUGGUGACGGUACCUUUGUUAAGAAGCACCGGCUAACUACGUG
RNAcentral lists this ribosomal RNA (492 nucleotides) under uncultured bacterium. Its description in RNAcentral is "partial 16S ribosomal RNA". It matches the Rfam family "Bacterial small subunit ribosomal RNA", at positions 28 to 507 of the family's 1533-position model. The record is from RNAcentral.